Molecule: ribosomal RNA, 305 nt
Filed under: uncultured bacterium
Lineage: Bacteria
Description: bacterial SSU rRNA
Rfam family: Bacterial small subunit ribosomal RNA
Source: RNAcentral
GAUUUCCUACGGGGGGCAGCAGUCGGGAAUAUUGCGCAAUGGAGGAAACUCUGACGCAGUGACGCCGCGUGCAGGAAGAAGGUUUUCGGAUUGUAAACUGCUUUAGACAGGGAAGAUAAAAGACAGUACCUGUAGAAUAAGCCACGGCUAACUACGUGCCAGCAGCCGCGGUAAUACGUAGGUGGCAAGCGUUAUCCGGAUUUAUUGGGUGUAAAGGGCGUGUAGGCGGGAAUGCAAGUCAGAUGUGAAAACUAUGGGCUCAACCCAUAGCCUGCAUUUGAAACUGUAUUUCUUGAGUGCUGGAG